Molecule: ribosomal RNA, 484 nt
Filed under: uncultured bacterium
Lineage: Bacteria
Description: partial 16S ribosomal RNA
Rfam family: Bacterial small subunit ribosomal RNA
Source: RNAcentral
AUUGAACGCUGGCGGCAGGCCUAACACAUGCAAGUCGAGCGGAUGAAUGGAGCUUGCUCUUGGAUUCAGCGGCGGACGGGCGAGUAAUGCCUAGGAAUCUGCCCGGUCGUGGGGGAUAACGUCCGGAAACGGGCGCUAAUACCGCAUACGUCCAGAUGGUGAAAGGGAUGGAUCUUUGGACCACACCGUAUCAGAUGAGACUAGGUCGUAUUAGCUAGUUGGUGGGGUAAAGGCCUACCAAGGCGACGAUCCGUAACUGGUCUGAGAGGGUGAUCAGUCACACUGGAACUGAGACACGGUCCAGACUCCUACGGGAGGCAGCAGUGGGGAAUAUUCGGCAAUGGGCGAAAGCCUGAUCCAGCCAUGCCGCGUGAGUGAAGAAGGUCUUCGGAUUGUAAAGCACUUUUAGUUGGGAGGAAGGGCAGUAAAUUAAAAUCUUGCUGUUUUGACGUUACCAACAGAGUAAGCACCGGCUAACUUCGUG